Molecule: long non-coding RNA, 4118 nt
Organism: Brassica rapa (field mustard)
Lineage: Eukaryota; Viridiplantae; Streptophyta; Magnoliopsida; Brassicales; Brassicaceae
Source: RefSeq, a predicted model, not a curated record
UUCCUUUUUAUUUUAACAGCAAAAAUCCUUUUAUUUAAAAAACAACACCUACGUUUAAUUAAUUAUGUCUUCAUAUCAAAACAUAAUGUAUCAUCCUAUCAAAACAUAGUGUAUUCAUUACGAUCAACAACUACGUUUAAAACAAACUUCAAUUGCUACAACCAAUGUUUUUAAACCCGACCCGGACACUGAACCGGACUGCUUACCGGUUUGCUGGGUCACUGGGUCGACCGCGGGUGAACCGCGGGUUAAUAAAUUAACUAAUUUUAUUAUAUAAUAAUAUCUCAGGUAUGUAAAUAAAAUUAUAAAAACUAAAGUUUAUUAUUUUCUAAAUUUUUUAAAACAUAAAAUAAUAGUUUGGAUAUGUAUAUAUUUUAUGUUUAAAAUUUAGAAAAUACUUAACUUUAGUUUUUAUAUUUUUAUUUUCAUUUGACAUACAAAAUAUCAAAAAAAUAGUUUAGACUAUUUAAAAUUUUCUCGAAUAAGAUAAGAGCUAUGACAUCUAAAAUAAAUCAAAACAUAAAAUUUAUAAAUAUUUAAAUGUAUAAUGUGAAUAAUAAAUUAAACUACAAAUACAAAAUAAACCAAAAGUAAAAAAAUCAUUGUAAUAAAUUAUCAAUAAUAGAAAUAAACUAACACCAAAUAACAUCAACUACUUUUGGUUCUCUCUACCAUCGUUCACUUUAUUUUCUUCAGGUGACAUAGUGAAAUCUUCAUCAAAAUCUAAAAAUCACAAAUAUAAAAUUGAAAAAAAAAAACAUAACUUUUUUUUUGUCAAUACCUAACAUCUUAAUUGAAAACUUAGAAUAUAAAACAAAAUUAAAAACUAUAAAAAGGAAAUAAAAGUUAUUUAUUGGUUCGACCGAUGGUUCAACCGGUACCGGAUUCCGUGUUUUACCGGGUUUUUUGCGGUUUUUUGCGGGUUUCUAAAUAUUAGGUUUUUCACAAAAUCCAAACCGAAUUUUUUUGGGUUACCGGGUUUACCGGUUCAACCGCGGGUCCGGGUCGGGUUUCAAAACACUGGCUACAACACACUUAUUUUUAUUUCUUAAACAGUCUAUGUACCAAAUCUAUCGACACCGAAGUGAAUUCUGCAAGCUGCCAAAUAAAAACAAUACAUUCUGUUAAUAUCAGUGUAUCAUCGACCAUUUAUCACGUCCAAUCAAUGUUUUGGUUACAAACACUUGCACAAAAAACAUAAAUGUUGCAUUAUUCAAAAUCUAUAAAAAAUGGUCGUAUUAUAUAUUUUUAACCUAGCAUUUUUAUAUGUAUAGUAUGAGAUACAAACAAACCCAUAAACCCCAAAUACUUUUUUAUAUUUUAAUUUAUUAAAAUAAGCAAUGUCAUGAUACCAAUCUUUUUUCAAAUCAAUCACCAUAAUAUCUAUACCAUUAAAUAAAAACGUAAAUUUAAGCAAAUAAACUAAUCAGAACAAUAAAAUUUUAUAUAAUAAAUACACAUAAUUAGAAUCCUAAACCGUAAACCACUCUGCAAUAUAGUCGACCAUACUAUUGGAUUUAUAAAGCUUUUUCAAAUCAAUAACCAAAAAUACAAACCACUAAAUCAAAAGCUAAAAAUUUAGCAAAUAAACUAGAUUUUCGAAAGUUCCAUACAUAACCAUAUCCACUAUACUAGAUCAUAAAUACCAAUCUUUUUUCAAAUCAAUAACCAUAAAUAUCUAUACCAUUAAAUAAAAAAACUAAAAUUUAAGCAAAUAAACUAAAUUUUCGGAAGUUGCUUCAUGUUUUCUUACUUGCAAAAAAAAAAAAAACAUUAUCUAAUUAUACGCGAUUCUUACUUGCAAAAAAAAAAACUCACACGCAAAAUAUUCCAAUUUCAAACUUAAAAUAUAAAACCACCAAUCUGAAAUAUAGUUAAACUCUAAUAAAAUAUAUUCUGUUUCAAAAAUAUUUUGUUAAUCAAUAACGAAGUAUAUGCCAAGUAAUAUUCUUUAUUCAUCAAAUACCAAUUAUUAACAAUCCCUUAAACCUCCUACCGAAAUAUCCGCCAUAUCCUAACAAAUUUACUGUCAAAUAACGAUAUUUACUUAGCUUAUUAACAUAAUAUACCUUAUUAUCAUUCAACUGAAAUAGCAUCCCUAAAAAUAAUCCGAAUAUUCUUUCAAAACCUAUCUAUUGUAGGCUAUAUAUAACUACCGUUGUCAAACAAUCAUCGCCACACACAAAUUUUCUUUUUUCUUUUCGAAACCGCAAAGAAACGCAAAGAACAAAGAAAAUUCUGUUCCUUUCAAAACUGAAACCUAACAGAACUGAUUGGUACAUCCAAUUGAAAGUAAUCCACACCUGGGAGCAAAUAAACUAGAAAUUUGGUGAAACGUUUUCGUUGACAAGAAGGUAUGGAUUUGGUUGGACUUGGUUGGACUUAGCCUCAUAACUUUCAUCAUCAAUCAUACAACGUGUAGACUUUGACUGUAAAAUUACGAAAAAACAUUAGUUAAAUUUGGAUUUUACAAAUAUUAAAUAUAUUAUAGUUAUUGUUUUUUUUUUGAAACACUAUUAUAGUUAUUGUAAGCGUUGAAAUUUUUAUGCCAUUGUAUGAAAACUUAUCUUUUCUCAGGUUUGUUGUUUUGUGAUAUUGGUUAGAGUCACAUGAAGAAAGCUUUGCCUAUACAAAUGUCACUGCACAGCCUGCACAUGAGUAAAUAUAUUAAAUUUUCAAACCAAAAUGAGUAAGAUCAAACAAAGAUCAUAUACCACCAUUUCAAUAUGAACGGAAAUAUAUUAUAACAAUUUGUUUGGAAAGAUGUGAGAAAAGUGGAUGAAACAAAUUCCAAAAAUAGUUAAAAAAAACUUUAGAUAUUUAUUUUUUAGUGUUUAACUACACUCGAUUAACCAACUAUAUAACGAAUAAGAGAAAUAUUUGAAAGUCUAUUGACCUGAAGUGAUUGAUGUUUCUUGAUCCUUUAACUCCGGUUCUUCGUUUUUUCUUGAGGGAUACUUUUUCAGAUCUUCUUCAGACAUAUACGAGACAAACAGAAUUAACCGACUAAUCAGAUCAUUCAUUGGAUUCGACAUGCAAACCUUAUCUGGAAAAAAAUGAUUUUUAGAUCAUAAGUAAUGGUUUCGAUGAGCCUAUGAUACAUUAAUCAAAGAAAAAUAAGUUAUUGGAGAUAUACCUUCAACCAUCUGUGUUGAUGGAUCAUGUUUCAUCAUGUUAUCAAAGCAUUUUGAGAGAGAGACGAACUCAUUUUUCUGAGGAAGCUUAUUCUGGAAAGGCAAAAAGACAGGUUGUUGUUCUGUCGGUUGGUAGUGAUGAACCAUGGGCCUGAGUGAUAUUGAAAAAUAUCAACAUAAGUUAUAAACCCAACUUACACUAACAUUUUAUUAUCCUCAUUUUGAGUUUCAGUUUGUAAAACCCAGUUGUAUUCGAUUAAUUUUUAAACAUAAAAAUGGAACUUCUUUGUUUUGUAUUAAUCAGGCCCAAGGAGUUUUUAAACAAUUUUAAAAUAAUUAUCAGAAUGGUCAAUAUAUCUAGAAUGUUUUUCCCUUAUAAUAAAUUUAAUUAAGAGCAUUUUCAAAUUGCAAAAGUAUUGUUUUAAAAUAAAUACAAUCAUCUUUUGUGUAUUAAAAUUAUACGUAAUAAAGUGUAAGUUUUGUAUACUUAUCAACAAUUAUUUUAAUUUGCAUUUCAUUUUCUUCCAACAGAAAAAUACAAGUAGCAAAAUUUUAACUUAGUUAGAUUUUAUUAUAGACAAAUUAAUAUUUCAUUUAUACAUUUAUCCUUAACAAUUAUUAAAAAUCAGUUAUUUAUCAAAUGCAAGACAUAUUUUAGAAACAAAUUUAAACCUCGACAUAUAAAUAGAGAACUUAGGGGUACUCUUUUUUUCCCCAUAUAGAUCCGAUCCAGCCGGACAGAACAUCUCUUUGAAACGACUCAGAUCCGCCUACCACUUGAUCUUAGAAGAUGGAUGUCGCCAAAAAAAAAUAGAGAACUGAAUCGGUAUACAAAUAUCCAAAACUAACCAAACCGAAUUCAAGCCCAAAUUCAUAAAUAAUCAAAAAAAAAUUAUCACUCGAACCGAACAACUAUAAACCGAAAUCAAACUGAAAACUCAAAAAAUAAAAAUAGAAGCGAACCUAAAAUUAAUACAACAAGUA